Molecule: ribosomal RNA, 839 nt
Filed under: uncultured bacterium
Lineage: Bacteria
Description: bacterial SSU rRNA
Rfam family: Bacterial small subunit ribosomal RNA
Source: RNAcentral
AGUCGAGCGAGCUUGCCUAGAUGAAUUUGGUGCUUGCACCAGAUGAAACUAGAUACAAGCGAGCGGCGGACGGGGGAGUAACACGUGGGUAACCUGCCCAAGAGACUGGGAUAACACCUGGAAACAGAUGCUAAUACCGGAUAACAACACUAGACGCAUGUCUAGAGUUUAAAAGAUGGUUCUGCUAUCACUCUUGGAUGGACCUGCGGUGCAUUAGCUAGUUGGUAAGGUAACGGCUUACCAAGGCAAUGAUGCAUAGCCGAGUUGAGAGACUGAUCGGCCACAUUGGGACUGAGACACGGCCCAAACUCCUACGGGAGGCAGCAGUAGGGAAUCUUCCACAAUGGACGCAAGUCUGAUGGAGCAACGCCGCGUGAGUGAAGAAGGGUUUCGGCUCGUAAAGCUCUGUUGGUAGUGAAGAAAGAUAGAGGUAGUAACUGGCCUUUAUUUGACGGUAAUUACUUAGAAAGUCACGGCUAACUACGUGCCAGCAGCCGCGGUAAUACGUAGGUGGCAAGCGUUGUCCGGAUUUAUUGGGCGUAAAGCGAGUGCAGGCGGUUCAAUAAGUCUGAUGUGAAAGCCUUCGGCUCAACCGGAGAAUUGCAUCAGAAACUGUUGAACUUGAGUGCAGAAGAGGAGAGUGGAACUCCAUGUGUAGCGGUGGAAUGCGUAGAUAUAUGGAAGAACACCAGUGGCGAAGGCGGCUCUCUGGUCUGCAACUGACGCUGAGGCUCGAAAGCAUGGGUAGCGAACAGGAUUAGGUACCCUGGUAGUCCAUGCCGUANACGAUGAGUGCUAAGUGUUGGGAGGUUUCCGCCUCUCAGUGCUGCAGCUAACGC